This 441-nucleotide ribosomal RNA is filed under the name uncultured bacterium. RNAcentral describes it as "partial 16S ribosomal RNA". It matches the Rfam family "Bacterial small subunit ribosomal RNA", at positions 338 to 795 of the family's 1533-position model. The record is from RNAcentral.
CCUACGGGGUGCUGCAGUGGGGGAUAUUGCACAAUGGGGGGAACCCUGAUGCAGCGACGCCGCGUGGGUGAAGGAGCGUUUCGGCGCGUAAAGCCCUAUCGGCAGAGAAGAAGGAGGACGGUACCUGACUAAGAAGCCCCGGCUAACUACGUGCAAGCAGCCGCGGUAAUACGGAGGGGGCAAGCGUUAUCCGGAUAUACUGGGUGUAAAGGGGGCGCAGACGGCAGCGCAAGCCAGGAGUGAAAGCUCUGGGCUGAACCCCGGGACUGCUUUUGGAACUGCGAGGCUGGAGUGCGGGGGGGGCAGGCGGAAUUCCUGGUGGAGCGGUGAAAUGCGUAGAUAUCAGGAGGAACACCGGUGGCGAAGGCGGCCUGCUGGACUGCGACUGACGUUGAGGCCCGAAAGCGUGGGGAGCAAACAGGAUUAGAUACCCGUGUAGUC